GUGCAGCGUCCCUGCAGUCUCAGUGAGAACCUCUGACCUAGGCGUGGCUGUGUGCUGGCUCCUGGGCCCCAGGCACGCCAGCUGCACGAGGGUAGGCAUUCCAGGGGACACCUCCGUCAAAGGACUGGGGAAUAACUGUCUACUGCACACGGAAAUUUGUGCAGAUGGAGACCGUGUGGCGCGUAAGCACAAAGCUGUUUUAAACUGUAACUGGAAGAUCAAAAAGAGUUUAGGGGAAAAUCCACGGCACCUGGACCAGCCCUCCUGGCACUGCCCUCGCAGUGCGGUUUCACAGGGGCUACUGGGAGGUGCGUCUCCCUGCCUGGACCGAGACCGGGACCAAACAGAGAAGCCUGCAGGGCCAGGAGUUCUAUGGAGAUGGCUCCUCCCAGACGGCAGUGGGGACCCUCAGGGUUGGCCACAGGCUUUGGUGAUGUCUGCAGAUAAGAUGAGAUUCUCCAUGUGGUGUUCAGGCCGUUUUCGUGAGGAAUAAGUGAAAAGCGCCUCACACAUGCUGGGGAAAGGCAAUGUCCUAUCCUAAGGCCAUGCUGAUGAUGGGGUGAGGCUGCCUUCCUGAGCCCCACCCUCCACAUCUGACCACACCUAACUCCAAACCUCUACCCACACUGCUGCCUGGCUCUGCGGGGCCGUCACCGGGCGUCGGACGGACAAUCCCAGCCUCACCCCUGCACAACCUGCUCUCCCCACUGCCUGGCUCUGUGGGGACACUGUGAACGCCAUCAACACACAGCCCGGGGUCGCUGUCUGGGACGUGCCCAUUAAGUCACGAUAAACGGUUUUUACUAAAAGCUUAGGCACCAAUAGAGGCCUGCUGAGGGCGGUGGAGAGGACACCAGAGUGGUUUUUCUAUAAUCACAAAAUACUAACUGCGAGAAGGAAUAGAGAAAGCAUUUCUUUUCUCUGUGACCUGCGAACACAGGGCAGUGAUGGAUUGUGCACUGCCACGUUCCGAGGUGGAGACCAGCAGCCCUGCAUUGACAGUAGUGACUUUCCUCAUGCAACGAAGCCAUGCAGAGACAGCUACAAUGUGCUUAUCAUUUGGGGUGGCAGCUGGCUUCCGACUCUCACAGGUCUCCUCACCUGCAGCCGUGCGCACACCCCACAAAGAGCUGGCAUCACAAAGUUAACUCAGAGCCCAGAGACGGGAGAUGUCCAGGCCCAGUGGAAGGCUCCGGGGAAGGAGUGUUGUCUCCCUGUCAGAGAAGCACUUAGACAAGCACUUGGCUUAAAGUCAGAGUGGAGAACAUUCUUCUUCAUGCAAAGUUAAACGGGAGUGAAGCCCAGGGCAGUUCUCAUUCGCUCAGAUCUGCCAAGAAGCCGAAGUGCAUGUAGAGCCUGUCCUGCCUCACAGAAGGCCCCGCACACCCACCACAGGCGACCACGCACCCCGUGCCGCCCACACCACCCACCACAGGCGACCACGCACCCCGUGCCGCCCACACCACCCACCGCAGGAGACCACGCACCCCGUGCCGCCCACACCACCCACCGCAGGAGACCACGCACCCCGUGCCGCCCACACCAUCCACCGCAGGAGACCACGCACCCCGUGCCGCCCACACCAUCCACUGCAGGUGACCAUGCACCCUGUGCUGCCCACACAUGCCCUAGGUAGACCUGUUGCCUGUGGCUGUAGAGGAGAUGGAAGCCAUGCAUUCCUGAGACACACGUGGGCUUCCAGGGUUGCCAGGUGGAAAUUAAAGCCGCAUCACAUGACCCUCAUGUGGAUGGGGACGUCUGAACCAUCCACAGGGCUCAGGAACAGAAACCUGGUCAGGUGACCAAGAGCAGGCGGAGGCCACACUGAAAAUGUUGAGUUUGGGUCUUGCACCAGCAGGCCCUCAGGGUCGUGGAUGGGUAUCACUCUUGAUGCUCAUGAAUGAGUGUGUCCUUGCCAAAGUCCCGGCCAUAACUGGGAGUCCAGUUCUGUGGGAAGUGCUGCCGACCUGUGUGUUAGGCAGAGUUUAAGAAACUGAACUCUGGGUGCCAGGCCAGAAAAGCCAAGAGACGUUGAUCUAGGAUUGCCUUCUUCUUUUGCUGUCCUGGGAUUAAGGCACCAGAGAGCAGACCCUGGUCACAAAGCAUCACAAAGACCAAGGUAACAACUCAGCCAAACUCCACCUGCCUCUGCCACUUGAUGCCACCGGAGAUUCUGUGUCACUUCGAGUUCCUGACUUUGCAGUGCUGGGAGUCUGGAGUUGGCCAGACAGCACCACACACAUUUCUUCAUUUUGCUGGCUUGCCAGCCGUGCUCAGGGUGCUUUCCCACUAGACCAGCAGGGAUGACAAAGGUCCCACUGAGACAGAGAAGCCCACAGGUCCAAAGUCCUCAGAAGCAGCCGCAGUACCAGGCAGACCUGAA
This 2383-nucleotide long non-coding RNA is filed under the name Homo sapiens (human). RNAcentral describes it as "HSALNT0117266". Lineage: Eukaryota; Metazoa; Chordata; Mammalia; Primates; Hominidae. The record is from RNAcentral.